UUUUUUAUGGAGAGUUUGAUCCUGGCUCAGGAUGAACGCUGGCGGCGUGCCUAAUACAUGCAAGUCGAGCGAACAGAUAAGGAGC
RNAcentral lists this ribosomal RNA (85 nucleotides) under Staphylococcus ureilyticus. Its description in RNAcentral is "Staphylococcus cohnii subsp. urealyticus partial 16S ribosomal RNA". It matches the Rfam family "Bacterial small subunit ribosomal RNA", at positions 1 to 82 of the family's 1533-position model. The record is from RNAcentral. Lineage: Bacteria; Bacillati; Bacillota; Bacilli; Caryophanales; Staphylococcaceae.